RNAcentral lists this ribosomal RNA (488 nucleotides) under Salmonella enterica. Its description in RNAcentral is "bacterial SSU rRNA". It matches the Rfam family "Bacterial small subunit ribosomal RNA", at positions 1 to 480 of the family's 1533-position model. The record is from RNAcentral. Lineage: Bacteria; Pseudomonadati; Pseudomonadota; Gammaproteobacteria; Enterobacterales; Enterobacteriaceae.
AAAUUGAAGAGUUUGAUCAUGGCUCAGAUUGAACGCUGGCGGCAGGCCUAACACAUGCAAGUCGAACGGUAGCACAGAGAGCUUGCUCUCGGGUGACGAGUGGCGGACGGGUGAGUAAUGUCUGGGAAACUGCCUGAUGGAGGGGGAUAACUACUGGAAACGGUGGCUAAUACCGCAUAACGUCGCAAGACCAAAGAGGGGGACCUUCGGGCCUCUUGCCAUCAGAUGUGCCCAGAUGGGAUUAGCUAGUUGGUGAGGUAAUGGCUCACCAAGGCGACGAUCCCUAGCUGGUCUGAGAGGAUGACCAGCCACACUGGAACUGAGACACGGUCCAGACUCCUACGGGAGGCAGCAGUGGGGAAUAUUGCACAAUGGGCGCAAGCCUGAUGCAGCCAUGCCGCGUGUAUGAAGAAGGCCUUCGGGUUGUAAAGUACUUUCAGCGGGGAGGAAGGAGUUGUGGUUAAUAACCGCAGCAAUUGACGUUACCC